This 414-nucleotide ribosomal RNA is filed under the name uncultured bacterium. RNAcentral describes it as "bacterial SSU rRNA". It matches the Rfam family "Bacterial small subunit ribosomal RNA", at positions 392 to 824 of the family's 1533-position model. The record is from RNAcentral.
CCCCCGGGUGSGAAAGAASGAWGUCCGUAAKGAAAUAAUUUUCUUUUAAUACGGGGGGAUAAUGACGGUACCCGAAGAAUAAGCCCCGGCUAAMUUUGUCCCCGCAGCCGCGGUAAUAUGUAGGGGGCGAGCGUUCUUGAGAAUUACUGGGCGUAAAGCGCGCGCAGGCGGAUAUUUAAGUCAGGUGUGAAAUCCCGGGUCUCCACCUGGGAACUGCAUUUGAGACUGCAUCUCUGGAGUGCGGCAGAGGDGGGUGGAAUUCCGAGUGUAGCAGUGAAAUGUGUAGAUAUGGGGAGGAACCCCAGUGGAGAAGGCAGUUCCCUGGUCCGGUACUGACGCUCAGGCCCGAAAGCGGGGGAGCAAACAGGAUUAGAUACCCKGAGAGUCCACGCCAAAAAYAAUCAACUGGUCGUC